This 623-nucleotide long non-coding RNA is filed under the name Salvia miltiorrhiza (redroot sage). Its description in RNAcentral is "long non-coding RNA (SMIL_LNC013381)". The record is from RNAcentral. Lineage: Eukaryota; Viridiplantae; Streptophyta; Magnoliopsida; Lamiales; Lamiaceae.
GAUAGCAAAGGAUAAUUUUUUUUUCAAGGAUAGUGUUUGGGAUAAUAAUGUGGUUAACAAAAGAUGGCCUAAAAUCAUCUCCUAAUCCUUGGCACAACAACAACCUCGACACAGAAACCAUGACAAGUUCUAGAAGAUCACCACAUGCAUGACAAAACUCACAACAAAGAAUAAACUGUGUAUGAUAAACAGUUAUGGCUCAAAUCCUCAAGAUUUAUUCAACGUCUAAAAGUCAAGGUCAAAAUCACUCUAGAAUUAUGCAAAUUAGUUCCAAUUAUUCUCAAAUCAUUAAAGAAAAUUAAAUUCAAUAUUUUUCACAGAAAUCAUCAUUGGCAUCUUACCAGAAAUCUAAUGGAGCAAUAAUCAUCUCAAAAACAAAACAAACACACACCACCAACCAAGCAGGAUAAAACAAUAAAGACAACAAAAAUAAUAAAAGUGAUACACAUAUCUAUUCUUAUCCCCCUCCCCCAAACUUAUUACAGAACAUAUGUUCGAAAAUAAGUUUGGAGGGAUGAUGAUAUGUGUGUCACUACUCACAGAAAAACAUGCUCCAUGGUGGUGAUAUGGACAAGUCACGAGUUCCUGCAUCUUCCAAGCUCAACACUGCACUAAAACCCCAA